AGGAGCUAGAGGUGUGAAGCUGGCUCCUUGGUGUUGCUUUGCUGCAACUGCCAUUUGCCAUGUUGAUCAUUCUCUUCUUUUGGGAGCUUAAGGAGGAAAAAGACACAGUCUGA
RNAcentral lists this small nucleolar RNA (113 nucleotides) under Otolemur garnettii (small-eared galago). RNAcentral's name for it is "Small nucleolar RNA U3 (ENSOGAG00000022750.1)". It matches the Rfam family "Small nucleolar RNA U3", at positions 85 to 214 of the family's 219-position model. From Rfam's summary of the family: Small nucleolar RNAs (snoRNAs) are involved in the processing and modification of rRNA in the nucleolus. There are two main classes of snoRNAs: the box C/D class, and the box H/ACA class. The record is from RNAcentral. Lineage: Eukaryota; Metazoa; Chordata; Mammalia; Primates; Galagidae.